GAUCAUAGCUCAGGAUGAACGCUAGCUACAGGCUUAACACAUGCAAGUCGAGGGGCAGCAUGGUCUUAGCUUGCUAAGGCCGAUGGCGACCGGCGCACGGGUGAGUAACGCGUAUCCAACCUGCCUUACACUCUUGGACAGCCUUCUGAAAGGGAGAUUGAUACAAGAUGUUAUCAUGAGUAAGCAUUUUCGCAUGAUUAAAGGUUUACCGGUGUAAGAUGGGGAUGCG
Molecule: ribosomal RNA, 229 nt
Filed under: uncultured bacterium
Lineage: Bacteria
Description: partial 16S ribosomal RNA
Rfam family: Bacterial small subunit ribosomal RNA
Source: RNAcentral